Molecule: unclassified non-coding RNA, 345 nt
Filed under: soil metagenome
Description: partial contains 5.8S ribosomal RNA, internal transcribed spacer 2, and large subunit ribosomal RNA
Rfam family: 5.8S ribosomal RNA (bases 1-120)
Source: RNAcentral
GAUGAAGAACGCAGCGAAAUGCGAUACGUAAUGUGAAUUGCAGAAUUCAGUGAAUCAUCGAGUCUUUGAACGCACAUUGCGCCCCCUGGUAUUCCGGGGGGCAUGCCUGUCCGAGCGUCAUUGCUGCCCUCAAGCACGGCUUGUGUGUUGGGCCUCCGUCCUCCUCCCGGGGGACGGGCCCGAAAGGCAGCGGCGGCACCGCGUCCGGUCCUCGAGCGUAUGGGGCUUCGUCACCCGCUCUUGUAGGCCCGGCCGGCGCUUGCCGACACAUCAAUCUUUUUUCCAGGUUGACCUCGGAUCAGGUAGGGAUACCCGCUGAACUUAAGCAUAUCAAUAAGCGAAGGA